This 69-nucleotide transfer RNA is filed under the name Pycanum ochraceum. RNAcentral's name for it is "tRNA-Gln". The record is from RNAcentral. Lineage: Eukaryota; Metazoa; Arthropoda; Insecta; Hemiptera; Tessaratomidae.
UAUAUAUUAGUAUAAGAUGUACAUAGAGUUUUGAUCUUUAAAGGAAUAGUUUAAUUCUAUUAUAUAUAA